Molecule: ribosomal RNA, 253 nt
Filed under: uncultured bacterium
Lineage: Bacteria
Description: partial 16S ribosomal RNA
Rfam family: Bacterial small subunit ribosomal RNA
Source: RNAcentral
UACGGGGGGGGUAAGCGUUGUUCGGAAUUACUGGGCGUAAAGGGCUCGUAGGCGGCCAACUAAGUCAUACGUGAAAUCCCUCAGCUUAACUGGGGAACUGCGUGUGAUACUGGAUGGCUUGGAUUUGGGAGAGGGAUGCGGAAUUCCAGGUGUAGCGGUGAAAUGCGUAGAUAUCUGGAGGAACACCAAUGGCGAAGGCAGCUCGCUGGGACGGUACUGACGCUGAGGCGCGAAAGCGUGGGGAGCAAACAGG